Molecule: long non-coding RNA, 468 nt
Filed under: Homo sapiens (human)
Lineage: Eukaryota; Metazoa; Chordata; Mammalia; Primates; Hominidae
Description: HSALNT0290364
Source: RNAcentral
GGCAAUCCCCUAAUGUUCCCUUCCACCUUGUGGAAGUUUUGUUCUUUCGCUCUUUGCAAUAAAUCCCAUUGUUGCUCGCUCUUUGGGGUCUCACUGUCUGUGCGAGCUGUAAUACUCGCCGCAAAGGUGUCUGGCUUCACUUCCGAGACCAGCGAGACCCCGAACCCACCGGGAGGAAUGAACAACUCCGGAUGGGAGGGACAAACAACACCAGACGCACCGCCUUAAGAGUCCUAACGCUCACCGCGGAGGUCUGCGGCUUCACUCUUGAAUGAAGCCAGCGAGAUCACAAACCCACCAGAAGGAAGGAACUCUGAACACAUCCGAAAAUCAGAAGGAACAAACUCCGGACACACUACCUUUAAGAACUGUAACACUCAAAUCGCGAGGGUCCACGGCUUCGUUCUUGAAGUCAGUGAGACCAAGAACCCACAAAUUCCGGACACUUCGAAUUUUCAGACAAUAAUU